This 253-nucleotide ribosomal RNA is filed under the name uncultured bacterium. RNAcentral's name for it is "partial 16S ribosomal RNA". It matches the Rfam family "Bacterial small subunit ribosomal RNA", at positions 524 to 776 of the family's 1533-position model. The record is from RNAcentral.
UACGGGGGGGGCAAGCGUUGUUCGGAAUUACUGGGCGUAAAGGGCGCGUAGGCGGCUUGCUAAGUCGGAUGUGAAAUCCCUCGGCUCAACCGAGGAACUGCAUCCGAUACUGGCGGGCUUGAAUCCGGGAGAGGGAUGUGGAAUUCCAGGUGUAGCGGUGAAAUGCGUAGAUAUCUGGAGGAACACCUGUGGUGUAGACAGCUUACUGGACCAUUUCUGACACUGAGACACGAAAGCGUGGGUAGCAAACAGG